CAUUCUUCAGUUCCUUGACCUUGAUUCUCAAAGAUAUUUACUCUAGAUACAAAGGUUUCUGGAGCAUUAUCACAGAACUAACACAGAGCUCUCUGCAGUUCUAAAAAGGGCACCAUGCUCCCUGCUUCUGUGGCUCUGCCCCUGUGUAUCUCUUCAUUUGCCUCCUCAAUCUUCCUUUGUUUCCAAGAAAGCUGGGUCUCAAAGGCUCAGGAACCUGGAGGAGGAGAGGUCAUAGGCCCAUCGAGCAGUCCUAUUUCCCUCUGUUCUGGUCUCUGAGUAUCUUACGGCCACACAAGCCACCACCCUCUUAACCCUUGGGAAGAGGUGAAGGCAAGGGAUCAGUGCACAGGAAAUAGCGAGUCUGUUGUCUGCAUUCGUCAAGGCUGGUGCCCAAAGGGCAGGCAUUUGCCGUGGGUUUGUCCAAUGCUCAGACAGUGGGUCAAUGUGUCUCAUACGGUAAUUGCUUAGGUAAAAGUAGCUCAGUUCUUAAAAAGAAAAGGCCUGUUUUUAGGAGGUGACAUGUCAUAGUGGAGACAGAAUAGGCUGUGGAAUCAUGUAUUCCUGGGUUCAAAUCCCAAUUUCAGUUCUAAAUAUUAUGUGAUCUGGUAACUUUUCUGAGUGUACGUGUGCCUACCGAGGGUGGUUUUGAGAACUGAGUAAGAGAGAUGCCUGACUCCUAGUCAGCUCUAAACCAGUGCCAGCUGCACCUUCGCCCCUUAGGGUCUACACCAGUGUAGAGAGCGCAGGAGCCCGUGGGUAUUUCUUCAGGUUCAUUUCCUCCUUCUCUUGCCUUUACUCACUUCGUUCCAGCCUCAAAUACCAAGACUCCUUGCGCUCAGGGUGUGGGUGCUGAUGCCCCUCCACCGGAGCCUUGCUGCUGCCGCGUCUCCUCAUGGCUCCAUUGCUCCGUCCAGGUCUGCUCAGACAUCGCCUCCUCACAGACCCGGUCACAGGUCAGGGUGUCGACAGCAGCCCCCCGCAUCUCCCCUCCUCCGCCUCGCCACUGUCCUUCACAGCCUAUGCCACCCUGAUGUCAUACCGUCUCCGCCAUGAGAUCACCAGCUUCACAAGAUAUACCAUAGUGAAAGUGCAGAACAUCAAAGACAGAGCAACUUUCUGAAGGAAAUCAAGAGUGAAGAACAAGACCCAUCACAGCUAAGAAUGCUCUGGGGGCAGCCAAGACGGCCGUGUGAGUGACCCAGGCCAACAAUGGAAGAAGUGAUGAAUACAGAUAUGAAGACAUUGCCCCUUGAACAGAGAAAAAGGAAAAAGCCUGAAAGUCUUUUCUAGUUUGUGAGAAAAGAUGAAGUGACAGGAAAAGGGUCUUGCUGUGAUAGAGUAUAUGUGCAGGAGAUUGCUUAUAAGGUGCUUCUUAAAAGCAAUCUUUGAAUAAAGUUCUCAGUUAUUUAUUAUGUGUAACAAACUACUCUAAGAUGUAGCAGCUUAAAACUAGCACCACUUACUCAUUCUGACUGUUCUGUGGGUUUACUGGAAGGGUCUUCUGUCCGUCUCACAGGGCUCUCAUGAGCAGCUGCAUUUGGUGGGCAGGUCUGCAAAGCCCAGGCUUGACUACAACAGCAGAAAAGCUUGGGUCUUUCUCUUCAUGGGGUCUCCAGUCUUCAAGGACACUGGUUCAUGCUUCUCCACAUGCCAACGGCAGUGUCCCAGAAGAGUGAAAGCAAAACCUGCAAGGCCUUUUAAGGACUAACCCUGAAUCUCACAGCAAUACUCCCUCUGCAUUCUUUUGGUCAAUGCAAGUCACGAGGCCAGCCCAGGUUGGAGAGGUGGGAAAACACUUGAUAGAAGCACCUGUAAAGUGACACAACAAGGAAAAGUGGACCCUGGGGGGCAUGAUUCACCAGGACCACUGUCAUAACAAUCCACCACAUGAAGCAAUCGUCAGAUCCUAGAAUAUUGGAGCUCACCAGGGCCAGAACAGGAACCUAGGGCUCUUGACUUCUCGGCCAAGCCUCUUCCCACUGAACCAGUUAUUCCAAGCAACCAGUCUCAGCUGCCAGGAGACACAAGCACAUCAUGGUGCUGAAUGUGGCUUCCAGCACCAACAUAUCCAAUGUGGAGCUCUGCCUUCUGCCCCGCAUGAGCCUGGAAUCUUCCCUCCUUUCAUCAAACUUUGCACACCAUUUUAAAUACAUUGUAGCCUCAACACAUUCUCCAUAAAUUUUAACAAGUUGCUGAGUAGUUUCUACAGUGAAAAUUUUGUCUUGUGCAGAGAAACUGAAAAACAGCAAACACUUUACCAGAAGAGGACACUUCUGGAGGGUAGCCCUUUUGAGAAUACAUGAAGCCACAGUGACAGCUGGUCCACUGUGCAGUGUCACCGCACAUGCCUCACUAAAGAUCAGAAUCCCAGGGAAGAUCCCCUGUGUCAUGUUUCAGAAACCCACAUUGUAAAUGGUCUUUUAAAAUGUGUACAUUUUGUAUAUUCUAAAUAUAUGAUAGGUAUUUUCUUCCCUGCAUCUUCCCUCAGCCCCUACCCUUACACUUACUUCAUCACUGUUGUUAAAAAGCAUUUCUAGAAAUUACUUAAUUUCACAUGGGCAGGACAAAGAGAGUCUUCUAGGCCUGGUCUCUUUCUCUAGGACAGUGGUUCUCAACUAGGGAUGGUUUUGCUCCCCCUCCCCCACAGGGGGCAUUUGUCAAUGUCUGCAGCGUUUUCUAUUAUCAUGCUGGGGAGGAGGUGCUAUGAGCAUCUCCUGGGGAGAGGCCAGCGAUGCUGCUGAACACCAAGCAGUGCACAGGUCAGCCUCCCAAACAAAGAAUUGUCUGGUGCAAUAUGUCCAUAGGGCCC
This is a long non-coding RNA of Manis pentadactyla (Chinese pangolin), 2809 nucleotides long. RefSeq lists it as uncharacterized. The record is from RefSeq and is a predicted model, not a curated record. The transcript has 3 exons. Lineage: Eukaryota; Metazoa; Chordata; Mammalia; Pholidota; Manidae.